GGCGGGGUAGAGCAGUUUGGUAGCUCGCAAGGCUCAUAACCUUGAGGUCACGGGUUCAAAUCCUGUCCCCGCAA
This 74-nucleotide transfer RNA is filed under the name Trithuria filamentosa. Its description in RNAcentral is "tRNA-Met". It matches the Rfam family "tRNA". Rfam says of the family: Transfer RNA (tRNA) molecules are approximately 80 nucleotides in length. Their secondary structure includes four short double-helical elements and three loops (D, anti-codon, and T loops). Further hydrogen bonds mediate the characteristic L-shaped molecular structure. tRNAs have two regions of fundamental functional importance: the anti-codon, which is responsible for specific mRNA codon recognition, and the 3' end, to which the tRNAs corresponding amino acid is attached (by aminoacyl-tRNA synthetases). tRNAs cope with the degeneracy of the genetic code in two manners: having more than one tRNA (with a specific anti-codon) for a particular amino acid; and 'wobble' base-pairing, i.e. permitting non-standard base-pairing at the 3rd anti-codon position. The record is from RNAcentral. Lineage: Eukaryota; Viridiplantae; Streptophyta; Magnoliopsida; Nymphaeales; Hydatellaceae. RNAcentral also lists the same sequence under 1 other name.